GAGAACGGCCCUAGCUUGCUNGGGCNUCAGCUAAGUGGCGCACGGGUGAGUAAUGUAUAGCUAACAUGCCCCAUAGAGGGGGAUAACAGUUGGAAACGACUACUAAUACCCCANNCUCNUUCAUCACGUAAGUGAUGUUGGGAAAGGUUUAUUCCGCUAUGGGAUUGGGCUAUAUCGUAUCAGCUAGUUGGUAGGGUAACGGCCUACCAAGGCUAUGACGCGUAGCGGGUCUGAGAGGAUGAUCCGCCACACUGGAACUGAGACACGGUCCAGACUCCUACNGGAGGCAGCAGUGGGGAAUAUUGGGCAAUGGGCGAAAGCCUGACCCAGCAACGCCGCGUGGAGGAUGANGCCCUUCGGGGGUGUAAACUCCUUUUAUCAGGGAAGAUGAUGACGGUACCUGAUGAAUNNGCACCGGCUAACUCCGUGNCAGCAGCCGCGGGUAAUACGGAGGGNGGCAAGCGUUUACUCGGGAAUCACUGGGCGUNAANCGCGCGCAGGGCCGGGCUGAUAAACGGGGGAAGUGNAAACCNUAACGGC
Molecule: ribosomal RNA, 540 nt
Filed under: uncultured bacterium
Lineage: Bacteria
Description: partial 16S ribosomal RNA
Rfam family: Bacterial small subunit ribosomal RNA
Source: RNAcentral